This 854-nucleotide ribosomal RNA is filed under the name Arthrobacter sp. MIDA11. RNAcentral describes it as "bacterial SSU rRNA". It matches the Rfam family "Bacterial small subunit ribosomal RNA", at positions 95 to 964 of the family's 1533-position model. Lineage: Bacteria; Bacillati; Actinomycetota; Actinomycetes; Micrococcales; Micrococcaceae. The record is from RNAcentral.
GUGGCGAACGGGUGAGUAACACGUGAGUAACCUGCCCUUGACUCUGGGAUAAGCCUGGGAAACUGGGUCUAAUACCGGAUAUGACCGUCUGACGCAUGUCAGGUGGUGGAAAGCUUUUGUGGUUUUGGAUGGACUCGCGGCCUAUCAGCUUGUUGGUGGGGUAAUGGCCUACCAAGGCGACGACGGGUAGCCGGCCUGAGAGGGUGACCGGCCACACUGGGACUGAGACACGGCCCAGACUCCUACGGGAGGCAGCAGUGGGGAAUAUUGCACAAUGGGCGCAAGCCUGAUGCAGCGACGCCGCGUGAGGGAUGACGGCCUUCGGGUUGUAAACCUCUUUCAGUAGGGAAGAAGCGAAAGUGACGGUACCUGCAGAAGAAGCGCCGGCUAACUACGUGCCAGCAGCCGCGGUAAUACGUAGGGCGCAAGCGUUAUCCGGAAUUAUUGGGCGUAAAGAGCUCGUAGGCGGUUUGUCGCGUCUGCUGUGAAAGACCGGGGCUCAACUCCGGUUCUGCAGUGGGUACGGGCAGACUAGAGUGAUGUAGGGGAGACUGGAAUUCCUGGUGUAGCGGUGAAAUGCGCAGAUAUCANGAGGAACACCGAUGGCGAAGGCAGGUCUCUGGGCAUUAACUGACGCUGAGGAGCGAAAGCAUGGGGAGCGAACAGGAUUAGAUACCCUGGUAGUCCAUGCCGUAAACGUUGGGCACUANGUGUGGGGGACAUUCCACGUUUUCCGCGCCGUAGCUAACGCAUUAAGUGCCCCGCCUGGGGAGUACGGCCGCAAGGCUAAAACUCAAAGGAAUUGACGGGGCCCGCACAAGCGGCGGANCAUGCGGAUAAUUCGAUGCACGCGA